RNAcentral lists this long non-coding RNA (256 nucleotides) under Mustela putorius furo (domestic ferret). RNAcentral's name for it is "lncRNA (ENSMPUG00000028275.1)". The record is from RNAcentral. Lineage: Eukaryota; Metazoa; Chordata; Mammalia; Carnivora; Mustelidae.
AGUAAAGCCAGGGUUAUGAAUGAAAUUAUUUUGUGGAUCACUUAGCUUUGUUUUCUUCUUUAGACAGUACAAUGGGUUCCUACACAAUUACAGACAGAUCUGGGCCAGAAAGUGUGGGUGACUCAGAGAAUACCCAUAGAAGGGAAGAAAAAUAUGAAGAAAAGUUUUGCUAUAGGUGAGCCCAAAAUAAUCACAGCAUCUUUACAAAAGAAAGGCAGAAGGUCAGCAUCAGAAGGAAGAAGUGAUGACAAAGGAG